Molecule: long non-coding RNA, 2274 nt
Organism: Sapajus apella (tufted capuchin)
Lineage: Eukaryota; Metazoa; Chordata; Mammalia; Primates; Cebidae
Exons: 2
Source: RefSeq, a predicted model, not a curated record
AUGUGAAUACUUUGGUCUCCAGCAAUUACUGUCAGGAGAUUUUAUGUUAUGUUAAUAAUACAAAAGAACAAGUAGAGCCAGCCAAUUUUCAGAACUAUUCAUUCAUCAGUAACUCUGCUAGAUGCUAAGGAUACAAUGGUGAUAUAGUUGUUUAUCUCUUGUCCCUCAGCCUGCCUCAUACCAGCCAUUCCCCAUCCUGAUCUGUAAGCGGAGUAGGGAGGCUACAAACAUCAUUUCCCAGGCUCCUACUGCCAUUUGGAAGAACUUACAAAAGGAGGCAGCACAGGUUAAAGGUUUUAAUGCUUUACUGAAAUUGUAAUACUCUACUGUAGUUUUAAUGUUGAAACUAUAGUAUUGUGAUGGCCAAUUUUAUGUGUCAACUUGACUGGGCCACAGGGUCCCCAGAUACUUGGUCAAACAUUAUUCUGAGUGUUUGAUUUUAGAUGUGAUCAAUCAUUACCUCAGUAGACCAGGUGAAGCAGAUUCCCUUCCCUAAUGAGGGUGGCCCUCAUCUGAUUAGUUGAAGGAAGGAAGAAAACAAAAAAGAUGAUGCUACCUCAAGGGGUACGCCUCUUGACCAUCUUGAGCUGGGUCAUCAGUCUUUUCUGGCCUUCAGACUCAAACUAGAACACUGACUCUUCUGGGUCUUGAAUCUGCUGGCCUUUUGACUGCUCACUCCGUUGGCUCUCCUACGUCUCUAGUUUGCAGAUCGGAGAACCUGGGACUUCUCAGCCUCGAUAAUCAUAUGAACCAAUUCCUUCCAAUAAAUAAAAAUAUAUACACAAACAUAUAUAUUAUGUAUAAUAUACAUAAAUCGGUAUUAUAACUACAAAUAUAUAUGUAUACACAUACAUACAUAUAUAGACACAAACCCUAUUGGUUCUGUUUCUCUGGAGAAUCCUAAUAUAUAUUCAGAAAGUUUAGAAAUCAUGCAAUGCAUUUUUCUCAAUUUAAGAAUCCACCCAAACAAAGUAACCAUAUGGUUUACUACUAUAAUACAAAUAAUUUACAUUAGGAUUUGUUAGAUUUGUGUCCCCUAGACCCCUGAAAACCUUGAAGGAUCAAGCCUUGGAAACUGGCAUAAAAACAGGGACUUGGGUAGUUCUAUAAAGGAUUUUGGAUGACGACUCAAUUUCUACUAAACAAAAUACAUAGAGCAGGAGAUAAUAUAUCACAAUGCCCAAAUCAUUAACUAUAAAAGGUGACCAGAAAAAUCUCUGAAUUCCAGAGUCUUUAAUUGAUAUUAUAAAUAUGGAAGAGAUUGCUGGUACCAGACACCAAGUGAGAAAUGUGAGUAAAUGCAAUAAUGAAAGCAUAUUUCUACAAUAAGGAGAAGUUAUGCUAACAAAAAAGGAACUGUCUUCCCACAAUUGUCACACACAUAAGGCUUUUCUCCCCAGUGUGGGUUCUCCGGUGUUUGAUAAGUCCUGAGCAGUGACUGAAGGCCUUGCUGCAUUGUUCAUUUUGCUAGUGUGCUUCUCCUCAUUGUAAGAAUAAGGUGAAGCGCUAACAUAACAGUUUGCAGCAAAACGGUCAUUCCGAAAUACUCUUGUAGAAACAAUGCCACUGAAUGUAUACGUAAUAAAUACUAAUUGUAUAAUGCUGACUAAAAGUUUUCUCACUUCAAUUCACAAGACUAAAAUUUUGACUAUCAUCCUGGGAAAAAAAGAUGGUCUACAGUGUGUUUAACAAAAAGUAGAUAGCCUGAGGAGUUAAAUUAAUGGUUAAAAUAGUCAUCAUGAAAAACUAAGAUGGUAUUACCACAGAGGUGAUUUAGGAAUCAAUGUAUAAGAAGACCAAGAUAGUCAGACAUUAAUAAAGGGGUUCUGAAACUGUAAGUGAUACUUGUUUUAAAUAUUUGGUGUGAAUCCACUGACCUGAGAAAGUAUUAACUUAGCAGGAAUAAGUUUUACACAGUUUACAGUGUGUGUUGGGUGGUAGGCAGGAUAGUGUCUAUUGUUUUAGGAGACAUUGGUUAGGCCCAGAGAACUAAGGGAACUAAGAUACUGUGCAUUAGAAUAUUUAUCAUUUUAUUCUGACUUGAUGAUUGAUUUUCAUACUGACUGAAUAGGAAAGUGUUUUCCUUAAACAGUAGCAACAGGGAAACAUUAAAGAAUGAAAUUUGCUGGGCCUGCUCUGGCUGCUCAGCUGACCUCUCCAUUUACCUUCUGAUACCUGGACAUCCCUGCCCUGUUCAGCCCCAUAGCUCCCAACUGUUUGGUUUCUGCUCCAUGGUUAGGGCUCUGACAGCUCCUUUGAAUAAACCAGACACCC